GACCCCCCUCUGCAGAAGAAUCAUUUCUAUAGUAAUCGACCUUACCUCUUGGUUCUUCUAAAGAGCCACGAGAGCUACCCUGGUUGAUGAGUGUAUAUCCUCGACACCCUAGAGUGAAAGCUUUUUGGUCCUCUCGCCCUGUCCGCAAGGAUGGCGGCUCCUGGUCCUUUUGGGCCGCGAGCUGUAUAGAGAGAUUGUUCCCUGCCUUGGUGCGGGGAUGCUUUGUUGAUGAUCUCGACCCUGUCUGUGGUCUGCCCUCGGGCGCGCGGACAGGGUGGGUGUUGACGGACGUCUGACAGGU
Molecule: small nucleolar RNA, 301 nt
Filed under: Moelleriella libera RCEF 2490
Lineage: Eukaryota; Fungi; Ascomycota; Sordariomycetes; Hypocreales; Clavicipitaceae
Description: Aschersonia aleyrodis RCEF 2490 Fungal small nucleolar RNA U3
Rfam family: Fungal small nucleolar RNA U3
About the family: Small nucleolar RNAs (snoRNAs) are involved in the processing and modification of rRNA in the nucleolus. There are two main classes of snoRNAs: the box C/D class, and the box H/ACA class.
Source: Rfam by way of RNAcentral